UACGUAGGGUGCGAGCGUUGUCCGGAAUUAUUGGGCGUAAAGGGCUCGUAGGCGGUCUGUUACGUCGGGAGUGAAAACUCGGGGCUCAACCCCGAGCCUGCUUCCGAUACGGGCAGACUAGAGGUAUGCAGGGGAGAAUGGAAUUCCUGGUGUAGCGGUGAAAUGCGCAGAUAUCAGGAGGAACACCAAUGGCGAAGGCAGCUCGCUGGAACGGUACUGACGCUGAGGCGCGAAAGCGUGGGGAGCAAACAGG
This 253-nucleotide ribosomal RNA is filed under the name uncultured bacterium. Its description in RNAcentral is "partial 16S ribosomal RNA". It matches the Rfam family "Bacterial small subunit ribosomal RNA", at positions 524 to 776 of the family's 1533-position model. The record is from RNAcentral.